UCGACCAAUACGGGAGAGACUGGCCUUCAGGGCUGGCGCCGAAGGAGCAACCGCCCCGGAAACUCUCAGGCCAAAGGACCGAGUUGGUCGG
This 91-nucleotide non-coding RNA is filed under the name Gluconobacter oxydans. RNAcentral describes it as "Glycine sequence". It matches the Rfam family "Glycine riboswitch aptamer". Rfam says of the family: This family represents the bacterial glycine riboswitch. Glycine riboswitches usually consist of two metabolite-binding aptamers domains with similar structures in tandem. The aptamers cooperatively bind glycine to regulate the expression of downstream genes. The record is from RNAcentral. Lineage: Bacteria; Pseudomonadati; Pseudomonadota; Alphaproteobacteria; Acetobacterales; Acetobacteraceae.